UAUUUUAAUAGCUUAUAAAGAGUUUAAUGUUGAAGACAUUAAGGAAGAUUAUUCUUUAAAAUAU
This 64-nucleotide transfer RNA is filed under the name Platerodrilini gen. sp. UPOL VP0030. RNAcentral describes it as "tRNA-Phe". Lineage: Eukaryota; Metazoa; Arthropoda; Insecta; Coleoptera; Lycidae. The record is from RNAcentral.